This 70-nucleotide transfer RNA is filed under the name Ptychadena mascareniensis (Masarene ridged frog). Its description in RNAcentral is "tRNA-Trp". It matches the Rfam family "tRNA". Rfam says of the family: Transfer RNA (tRNA) molecules are approximately 80 nucleotides in length. Lineage: Eukaryota; Metazoa; Chordata; Amphibia; Anura; Ptychadenidae. The record is from RNAcentral.
AGAAAUUUAGGUUAAUUUAGACCCAAGGCCUUCAAAUCCUUAAGCAGAAGUUAAAAUCUUCUAAUUUCUG